AGCCUGAUGCAGCCAUGCCGCGUGUGUGAAGAAGGCCUUCGGGUUGUAAAGCACUUUCAGUGAGGAGGAAGGAGGAAGCGUUAAUAGCGUUUUCUUUUGACGUUACUCACAGAAGAAGCACCGGCUAACUCCGUGCCAGCAGCCGCGGUAAUACGGGGGGUGCAAGCGUUAAUCGGAAUGACUGGGCGUAAAGGGCACGCAGGCGGUUGAUUAAGUUAGAUGUGAAAUCCCCGGGCUUAACCUGGGAACUGCAUUUAAAACUGGUCAGCUAGAGUCUUGUAGAGGGGGGUAGAAUUCCACGUGUAGCGGUGAAAUGCGUAGAGAUGUGGAGGAAUACCGGUGGCGAAGGCGGCCCCCUGGACAAAGACUGACGCUCAGGUGCGAAAGCGUGGGGAGCAAACAGGAUUAGAUACCCUGGUAGUCCACGCGGUAAACGAUGUCGAUUUAGAGGUUGUUCCCAUGAGGAGUGGCUUUUGUAGCUAACGCGUUAAAUCGACCGCCUGGGGAGUACGGCCGCAAGGUUAAAACUCAAAUGAAUUGACGGGGGCCCGCACAAGCGGUGGAGCAUGUGGUUUAAUUCGAUGCAACGCGAAGAACCUUACCUACUCUUGACAUCCAGCGAAGUUGGCAGAGAU
This 635-nucleotide ribosomal RNA is filed under the name Leminorella sp. Ri2Ps_5059. Its description in RNAcentral is "bacterial SSU rRNA". It matches the Rfam family "Bacterial small subunit ribosomal RNA", at positions 380 to 1007 of the family's 1533-position model. Lineage: Bacteria; Pseudomonadati; Pseudomonadota; Gammaproteobacteria; Enterobacterales; Budviciaceae. The record is from RNAcentral.